AGACACUCUGUGCAAAGAACAGAGGCAAGCCUCCAGCCAGGAGCUCAUGAAAUCAUGAACUGAGGCCUCAGUGCAAUAGCUCAUGAGGAAAUGAAUUAUUUCAACAGCCAGAUGUAGUAAACACUCAGAGAAAACGAGGUUGAAAAACCAAAUGCUGGGGAGGAGCCAAGAUGGCCGAGUAGGAACAGCUCCGGUCUACAGCUCCCAGCGUGAGCGACGCAGAAGACGGGUGAUUUCUGCAUUUCCAUCUGAGGUACCGGGUUCAUCUCACUAGGGAGCGCCAGACAGUGGGCGCAGUUCUGGAAGUUGGAAGUACAAGAUCAGAUUGCCAGCAUCAUCAGGUACUCAUGAGGGCCGUCUUCCAGCUUGCAGACUGCCAACUUCUCAUUGUGUCCUCAGCUUGGUACAGGAACAACAGAGAGCCAGACAAUUCUGCCAUUCACUGGGACACACGAGAUGGAACUCAAUAGAAGUCAAGAGAAAACUAAAUUCAAAUAUUUACAGAGGCAAUAAAAAAGCCUAGGAUUGAGACACAAUAGCAAUGAACAGAAGAACUAACAGUUCAAAACUGAGGGCUAAGCGCAGUGGCUCAUGACCGUAAUCC
Molecule: long non-coding RNA, 604 nt
Filed under: Homo sapiens (human)
Lineage: Eukaryota; Metazoa; Chordata; Mammalia; Primates; Hominidae
Description: HSALNT0339375
Source: RNAcentral